GAAUAAAAUAGUCAAUAUAGAGUUGCUACCGAUAGUCCGGCUAGUGUCCGGUCCGGCUUGUGUCCGGUCAGGGAUAAGUAAUAGUAGACCUAGAAUAACCCGAGGGUCCGGCUUGUGUCCGGUCAGGGAUAAGUAAUAGUAGACCUAGAAUAACCCGAGGGUCCGGCUUGUGUCCGGUCAGGGAUAACUAACAAUAAAUAUAGAAUAUUCCGAUAGUCCGGCUUGUGUCCGGUCCGGCUGAGACCGGUCAGGAAUAAAAUAGUCAAUAUAGAGUUGCUACCGAUAGUCCGGCUAGUGUCCGGUCCGGCUUGUGUCCGGUAAGGUGAUCUAUAAUUGGGCAUAGAUUUAACCAAUAGCCAGGCUUGUGACCGGUGAGGUGUCUACAAAAUGUUAAUAUAUAUUGAAUCUCUAAUUAGGCAUAGAUAUAACCAAUAGCCAGGCUUGUGACCGGUGAGGUGUCUACAAAAGAUUAAUAUAUGUUGGACUGAAAAGUCCGCUUUGUGUUUGGUCUGAAUUGAUGUGAUAAAUGUACAAUUGUGUGACGUCGCAAAAUAUGUUGUUCUAAUGCUAUGUGCAUGUAAGAAUAUUCGUGUAUCGACUAUAGAAUAAAUGUAAACAGAGUUUCACAAGACCCUGCUAUUAUUUCCUAAAUUCUAAAAGUACUUAUCAAUCAUUGAACCAUUAUUAAUGUAAAUUCUGGAUAUAUGACGGAGAAGCUCUGAGUUAAGGCAGAGUACGAGUAAUAGUGUCUCCUAAGAAUACAUCACUGGUGUGAGCUAGUGACGAGCUAAGUAUAUUCAGAUAGUGUGCAAAAUAUUUCUAAAAACUCAAAAUGGCGACUCCGCAACCUCCCAAAUUAAAAUUCAAUGAUUUUCUAGACCAACGUAUGCAAGAUAGGUCAGGAGGAAAGGAACAGUGGAAGUCAAUAAAGAAGGUUUGGGAAGGGUUGAAGUUGAAGUGGACACAGGCAGGUUAUUUAGUAGGGGGAACGCCAAAUAGGGUCCAGCUUAGCACAAUGGAAGGCGAGUUGCGUGAAGCAUUACAGGAAGCUAAAGACAAAGAGAUAGAACAGAACAAGCUGCAUGUAUUUAAGAAGGAAGGGACAAAGACAGAGAAAGAGCAGAAGCUGAAUUCAAAAUAGGCACUUGGGCUGUUGAGGAGAUCCACAGAGCACAACUGAAAACUAAACCGGAAAUCAUGGGGAUAGUCACUGGGACGGAGGCGGAGUCAUCAAGAAAAAGGGACUAAACAGAGAGAAAGGGCAGAAGUGGAACUGAAGAUAGGAACUUGGGCCAUCGAAGAGGCGCUAAGAGCACAACUGAAUAAAAAAACGGAAAUGAUGGGGGUGGCCACUCCCUCACAAGGGGAAGAUGAGCAGACGGACCACCACCAGGAGAUGGCGCCAAAUCCAUUUCCCUCUGCCCCGCCAACACAUGUGCCCUCAACGACCCGACCCCUUUACCCAGUCCUAUCAAAUUUGCCUCCACCUUAUACUGAUAAGGGGAAAAGGGCCGGGCCCGCGUCAACACAGGCCCCUGUGUUCCUUGUAAAAGAAGGAGUACUCCAAGGGGAUACGUUGAUCAAAGGGGGCCACCUGGAGUGUGAAGAAUUAAAGCCUGGCCCAUAGGGUUACUCCACACCAGGGGGUGCACAAAGGUGCACACCAGGGCCAUCUGACAUGCAUGCCCCUCGAUCUAUGCGAGAACAGCUCCGCCCCAGUGGCCACACGAGGAAUCCAUUCAUAGAUGGAGCAGGGGGCAACGGGAGCAGCUUGAAGUCAGAGGGGAGGGGAACCCCCACCUCCUGCACAUCCAGUGUGUACAGAGAACAUAGAGGGGAACCAAGGAGCGAUAUUAGUCUCUGAAGGCUAAGAUAGCCAAGGUGUGUGCAGGUACAAAACUGACAUGGGUGGAGGCCCUGCCACUGGCGUUGAUGGCCAUGAGGUCAUCACCUGGGGCAGGGACUCAUCUCUCACCCCACUAAAUAAUGACAGGAAGAGUAAUGCCAGGUCCACCAAGAGAGGGAGGUCAUAUGCCCCCUCUUGAUGUACACCAGAUAGGUAUGACUGACUAUGUAAGAAAAUUGACGGAACUGUCCGCAGCUCUUUCCAAACAGAUACACAAAGUCCAUGGGGGGGAGCUGACGGGAGAUCCAGAGCAACCAAGGGUAAAGGUCGGAGACUGGGUAAGGAUCAAGGUCCACAAGAGAAAGUGGCAGGAUCCCAGGUGGACUGGACCGUACGAAGUGAAGGAGGUUACUUCACACUCAGUCCAGGUCAAAGGUAAAUCAGGCUGUCGCUUGUCAUACAAUAGAUCUCUUUGUCCGAAUCGUUCCUUGACCGACUCGUCCACCUGCACAUCUCAUUUUAUCAACAUAUUCCGUCUUGUAUGUUUAUUGAAAACAUACAUAAAUUAAACUUUGAAAAUACAUCAUUACAAGUUGUUGGUAAGCUAGCGAAAUUUAGCCAUAUUAGCAUUGACGGGAAAUCAGUCAAAACACCUCAAAACAAGACAUGCUAUUAAUAACAAGAUAAAACUAGCCAUUUACGAUGCCCACAUGGCAGUUUCUUGUCAUUCUAGUCAUUGCUAGCAAUCUGGCCAUCCAGAAUCACAACAACACACUGACUUCUGCCCCAUGGAAGUACGUACAUCGUGUUCGUGAUGUUGUCAACCCAUCUAUGGAGAGUUGGAUAUAUCCACACAAGUUAAACAUCCUGCAUAGCAUAAGCAUAGCAUACCAAUCACUGAUUAUCAGAGAGGUAUCUCUAACCUCAUCUUUGACCAAUUUUCAACACCUUUUUCAGACCUCAAACUGUUGUCUAUCAUUUGCAGCCAGAGAUAGCAGUAUAUAUUAUUAAAUUAAUGAUAUAUACCCAUUGUUUCUUAAAGAUUAUAAACUGGGUGGCUCGAUCCCUGAAUGCUGAUUGGCUGAGAACAGUGGUAUAUCAG
This is a long non-coding RNA of Oncorhynchus tshawytscha (Chinook salmon), 2948 nucleotides long. The record is from Ensembl. NCBI's taxonomy places the organism in Eukaryota, Metazoa, Chordata, Actinopteri, Salmoniformes, Salmonidae.